Molecule: ribosomal RNA, 1438 nt
Filed under: uncultured organism
Description: 16S ribosomal RNA
Rfam family: Bacterial small subunit ribosomal RNA
Source: RNAcentral
GCUUAACACAUGCAAGUCGAGGGGCAUCAGGAAGAAAGCUUGCUUUCUUUGCUGGCGACCGGCGCACGGGUGAGUAACACGUAUCCAACCUGCCCUUUACUCGGGGAUAGCCUUUCGAAAGAAAGAUUAAUACCCGAUAGCAUAAUGAUUCCGCAUGGUUUCAUUAUUAAAGGAUUCCGGUAAAGGAUGGGGAUGCGUUCCAUUAGGUUGUUGGUGAGGUAACGGCCCACCAAGCCUUCGAUGGAUAGGGGUUCUGAGAGGAAGGUCCCCCACAUUGGAACUGAGACACGGUCCAAACUCCUACGGGAGGCAGCAGUGAGGAAUAUUGGUCAAUGGGCGCUAGCCUGAACCAGCCAAGUAGCGUGAAGGAUGAAGGCUCUAUGGGUCGUAAACUUCUUUUAUAUAAGAAUAAAGUGCAGUAUGUAUACUGUUUUGUAUGUAUUAUAUGAAUAAGGAUCGGCUAACUCCGUGCCAGCAGCCGCGGUAAUACGGAGGAUCCGAGCGUUAUCCGGAUUUAUUGGGUUUAAAGGGAGCGUAGGUGGACUGGUAAGUCAGUUGUGAAAGUUUGCGGCUCAACCGUAAAAUUGCAGUUGAUACUGUCAGUCUUGAGUACAGUAGAGGUGGGCGGAAUUCGUGGUGUAGCGGUGAAAUGCUUAGAUAUCACGAAGAACUCCGAUUGCGAAGGCAGCUCACUGGACUGCAACUGACACUGAUGCUCGAAAGUGUGGGUAUCAAACAGGAUUAGAUACCCUGGUAGUCCACACAGUAAACGAUGAAUACUCGCUGUUUGCGAUAUACAGUAAGCGGCCAAGCGAAAGCAUUAAGUAUUCCACCUGGGGAGUACGCCGGCAACGGUGAAACUCAAAGGAAUUGACGGGGGCCCGCACAAGCGGAGGAACAUGUGGUUUAAUUCGAUGAUACGCGAGGAACCUUACCCGGGCUUAAAUUGCAGUGGAAUGAUGUGGAAACAUGUCAGUGAGCAAUCACCGCUGUGAAGGUGCUGCAUGGUUGUCGUCAGCUCGUGCCGUGAGGUGUCGGCUUAAGUGCCAUAACGAGCGCAACCCUUAUCUUUAGUUACUAACAGGUUAUGCUGAGGACUCUAGAGAGACUGCCGUCGUAAGAUGUGAGGAAGGUGGGGAUGACGUCAAAUCAGCACGGCCCUUACGUCCGGGGCUACACACGUGUUACAAUGGGGGGUACAGAAGGCAGCUAGCGGGUGACCGUAUGCUAAUCCCAAAAUCCUCUCUCAGUUCGGAUCGAAGUCUGCAACCCGACUUCGUGAAGCUGGAUUCGCUAGUAAUCGCGCAUCAGCCACGGCGCGGUGAAUACGUUCCCGGGCCUUGUACACACCGCCCGUCAAGCCAUGGGAGCCGGGGGUACCUGAAGUACGUAACCGCAAGGAUCGUCCUAGGGUAAAACUGGUGACUGGGGCUAAGUC